GACUAACGCUGGCGGCGUGUCUUAGACAUGCAAGUCGAACGGGUUGCUAUUUUGUAGCAAUACAGAAUAGCGCUAGUGGCGAACGGGUGAGUAAUACAAAAGUAAUUUCCCUUAGAGUGAAGCAUAACCGCGAGAAAUCGUGACUAAUUCUUCAUAUUCUCAAUAGACAUUAGUCUAUUGAGGAAAGGUUUCGGCCGCUCUGAGAUAAGCUUUUGGCCUAUCAGUUUGUUGGUGAGUUAACAGCCCACCAAGACUACGACGGGUAGGGGGUGUGAGAGCAUGACCCCCCACAUGGGAACUGCGACACGGUCCCAACUCCUACGGGAGGCAGCAGUCUAGAAAUUUGGGCAAUGGGCGAAAGCCUGACCCAGCGACGCCGCGUGAGGGAUGAAGUCUCUCGGGAUGUAAACCUCUGUUGAGGGGAACGAUAAUGACGGUACCCCUCGAGGAAGCCUCGGCUAACUCCGUGCCAGCAGCCGCGGUAAUACGGAGGAGGCAAGCGUUGUCCGGAAUCACUGGGCGUAAAGGGUGUGUAGGUGUCCUGAUGGGUCAAGUGUGAAAUCCAACAGCUUAACUGUUGAAGUGCAUCUGAAACUAUCGGGAUUGAGGACAUGAGGGGAGAGCGGAACUCGCGGUGUAGCGGUAGAAUGCGUGGAUAUCGCGAGGAAUACCGAUGGCGAAGGCGGCUCUCUAGUAUGUUUCUCGUAUGAGAAGCUGAAUAAUUUCAAUCUUCGGAUUUUCAUUAAUCAGUCCUGACACUGAAACACGAAAGCUGGGGGAGCGAACGGGAUUAGAUACCCCGGUAGUCCCAGCCCUAAACGAUGUACACUUGGCACGCGUUGUAUGAUGCGUGCCGUAGGUAACCUGUUAAGUGUACCGCCUGGGGAGUAUGCUCGCAAGGGUGAAACUCAAAGGAAUUGACGGGGACCCGCACAAGCGGUGGAGGAUGUGGUUCAAUUCGAGGCAACGCGAAGAACCUUACCUGGGCUUGACAUGCUGAUAGUACUAAACCGAAAGGUGAUGGAUUCCACCUCUGGUGGAAAGUCAGCACAGGUGCUGCAUGGCUGUCGUCAGCUCGUGCC
RNAcentral lists this ribosomal RNA (1082 nucleotides) under uncultured bacterium. Its description in RNAcentral is "bacterial SSU rRNA". It matches the Rfam family "Bacterial small subunit ribosomal RNA", at positions 28 to 1066 of the family's 1533-position model. The record is from RNAcentral.